Molecule: long non-coding RNA, 526 nt
Organism: Hippocampus comes (tiger tail seahorse)
Lineage: Eukaryota; Metazoa; Chordata; Actinopteri; Syngnathiformes; Syngnathidae
Exons: 3
Source: RefSeq, a predicted model, not a curated record
UUUUGGGAAAAUUGAAUGUUUCAGGUGCGCCUUAUAGUGCGGAAAAUACGGUAACUUAAAUAGUUGAAGAAACAAUUAUGCUUGACUUCCUGAUAUGGUUUCACCGUCAUGACAAAAAGAAAAAAAAAAGUAUGCAAACGUGGCUAAAUUGGAGUUGGAGCAUUUGAGGGUGCACGUGAAAUAGGAACUUUUGAAAAACCCAGCGGCCCGAUCAGAAAUAGCGUCUCGGGGGCCAAAGUGAUUCAUUGAGUGCUUCAUCCAAUCAAAAUGUUAUAUAAGCCACGUCUUUCUUCAGCCAGUCUUACAGCACCACGAAAGCAUUCCGCCACUUGCAAACAAGCUUGUCUGUCAAAAGAGACCCAUUGCGGCAUUUUCUUUCCACAGUCAUUCUGUUCAAUCUAGUGAUUGUUUUUUUUUUUGUUUGUUUUUGGUCUUUCAUGAAUGACCUUGCUGGCAUACAGUGAGCAUCAAUCGUCAGUUGUUUGUUACGCAAUCAUGGCGGGGAUAUGUGUGUGUGUGUGUGUGU